Molecule: long non-coding RNA, 397 nt
Filed under: Nicotiana benthamiana
Lineage: Eukaryota; Viridiplantae; Streptophyta; Magnoliopsida; Solanales; Solanaceae
Description: long non-coding RNA (NBEN_LNC031845)
Source: RNAcentral
GUAUAUGUCAUAUUUAUCAUUUAAUUGUUGGUGAUGGUAUGAGAAUUUUAAACAUAGAAAUUGAAAAGGUUAAAUUCGCUCUUAAUUGGCUUUUUAUUCUAACUGUAGAAGUAGACUUAGAGAAUAUUAUAAAAAAUGUGACGAAUAUAGCUUUAGAGAAAGAAAGGUUCCUAAACCUUGCCCGACUAGGUGGAACUACAUGUACGAAAGUUUAGUAGUGGCGUACGAAUAUAGAAACCCAAUUAACGCUACUUAUAAUUCUCGGGAUUGUAGGGAGGAAGAUAAUGACAUGCUAACUAAUCAAGAUUGGACUAACGUUAAAAUUCUCUUAGACUUCUUAGAACAUUUUCAUGUGGCUACAAAUGCUUUAUCUGGCCAAUAUUAUCCAACUAUUUCU